Molecule: long non-coding RNA, 1698 nt
Organism: Canis lupus familiaris (dog)
Lineage: Eukaryota; Metazoa; Chordata; Mammalia; Carnivora; Canidae
Exons: 3
Source: RefSeq, a predicted model, not a curated record
AUUUUUAGAGAAACUAAAAACUGGACUCUGAUAAUAUUUGGAAAUAAUUGUUUUUACAAUAUAUCCUUUUUCUCUUUAACAAUGUUACAUUUUAAGUCUAAGAGUAUUAUGUAUUUUUAAUAGAGGAUGGUCUCCCGUUAGUAAGUAGCUUUUCACUCACCUUCAACAUCACAGUGAAGCUUUAAUAAGUGGGGAACUCAUUCUCUGAGAUAUUGAGCAUUCCCCUAUUUUCUGAAAAUUACCUAUACAUUUUCUUAGACGCUGCUUUCUUCUCCUUUCACCCCACUGUGCUUUUCCUAGAAAGCUCUGAUUUUUCUCCCACCUAAAACCCUUAUUAGCUCUUUUCCCACUCCCUGAAUUUGUCUUAACUUCCUAGAAACCCUUUCCAAUAGCAUCUAACUACACAGUUCUUAAAUCUCUUAUUCUCUACACACCUUUCAGGCUACCACAACCUCUUCUUAGCUCUAUGGGCAUCUGCACUGAUUUCCUUUACCAAAACCCUUUCACUAGAAGUCCUUUGCAUCAGAAUCCACCACCCUGAAGGAAAGAAAAGGCAUGACAUCUUCAAGAACCUAGAAUGCGCAGUUAUUCAAUCUUCACGAAACCCUGCAAACUAGGUGCAAGAUACCCACAUUCCUUUUUCCUCUCCUUGAGCACAUGAGAAGACUGUUUCCCAGUUUCCCUUGCUAUUAGUCUGGGGCAAUGUAAUUGGUCUGGCCAGGAGCUAUGGGCAAAAGUAAUGGGCCUGGUUCCCAAGCUUGACUCUAAAGUCUCCUGUGAAACAAUCAGCUUGUGACUUCUCCGUUGUCGACAAUGCUUAAAAGCAAAGGAUGUUAAGAUACUGGAUUAUGUGUAUCACAAGAGUUCAGAUUCUUUAGUUGCUGAAGCAACAGACAGUGAACUGAGCAGAAUGUAAAGUUGUAUUAAGUUUCUGAGUUUAUUACCAAGUUUGCAUUUAGACACAUAAAGAAUAGCAAGUCAUUGUGUUUGUAGUCUAGUGAAGUUAGGUUACAUAAGCUUUUGUGACCUGACAUCAAAAUGCGAUCCCCCUUGUUAAACUGUUUUUAUAGAAACGUGAGUUCUGAGUUCCAGUCCAAACUAUAAAAGAACUUUCAGAGAAAAGGAAACAAAAACUCUAGGGAUUGAUUUUUCUGUGAAAGAAGUACCACACAUUAGAACACCAGUACUCUUGAGGUGCCGCUCAAUUUGUCCUACUACUGAUGAUGUCCAGUUUAAUCACCCAAUUAAAAUGAUGUCUGCCAGGCUUCUCCACAACUAGCUCCCAUGCCAAGGCCUGGCAGGUCCUGCACACCCAUUCACCGGACCACAAUUUUCUGCUUCUCACAUAUAAAACUUACCUCAUCGAGGAAGGAAAGAAAACAGCAGCUGCAAUGACAUGUCUAAGGGUAGAAAACUAAUGAAGGAAAAAGAAAUGCUAACAGGUUUGUACUCUAAGACAAUACAGAUUGUCUCCAAGACAAAGAACUUCAGCUGCACCCUGCGUGUCUUGAAUAUAGACCACAAGGGGAAAACAAGCUAUUACCUUAAAUAUUUCUCAUUUUAAAAUGCUCUUUUUUUAUACCAACCAUAACCAUCCUGAAUAAUUCAAAUCACCAUGCCCCCUUCUUAUCCUCAAUAUAGAACUUUUUGUCAUAAACAGAUGCAUAUUCUUAAUACAAAACUAAUAAAGUAAAAAAA